UGCCAGCAGCCGCGGUAAUACCGGCGCCUCAAGUGGUAGUCGCUUUUAUUGGGCCUAAAACGUCCGUAGCCGGUUUGGUACAUUCGUGGGUAAAUCAACUCGCUCAACGAGUUGAAUUCUGCGAGGACGGCCAAACUUGGGACCGGGAGAGGUGUGGGGUACUCUCAGGGUAGGGGUAAAAUCCUGUCAUCCUGAGAGGACCACCUGUUGCGAAGGCGCCACACUAGAACGGAUCCGACGGUCAGGGACGAAGCCUAGGGGCACGAACCGGAUUAGAUACCCGGGUAGUCCUAGGUGUAAACGCUGUGGACUUGAUGUUGGAGAAGCUCCGAGCUUCUUCAGUGUCGAAGCGAAGGUGAUAAGUCCACUGCCUGGGAAGUACGGUCGCAAGGCUGAAACUUAAAGGAAUUGGCGGGGGAGCACCGCAACCUGAGGAUUGUGCGGUUUAAUUGGAUUCAACGCCGGAAAACUCACCAUAGCCGACGGACAUAUGAAGGUCCGUGUAACGAACUUACCGGAUUGUUCGAGAGGUAGUGCAUGGCCGCCGUCAGUUCGUACCGUAAGGCGUUCUGUUAAGUCAGAUAACGAACGAGACCCUCAUCUCUAUUUGCUAGCUGGAUCUCCGGAUUCGGUGCACUAUAGAGAGACCGCUGGCGCGAAGUCAGAGGAAGGCGAGGGCAACGGUAGGUCAGUAUGAUCCGAAUGUCAUGGGCUACACGCGCAAUACAAAGGACGGGACAAUGGGCUGCUACUCCGAGAGGAAGAAGCUAUCCCGAAACCCGUUCGUAGUUCGGAUUGGGGGCUGUAACCCGCCCCCAUGAAGCUGGAUUAGGUAGUAAUCGCGACUCAACAAGGCGCGGUGAAUAUGCCCCUGCUCCUUGCACUCACCGCCCGUC
This 896-nucleotide ribosomal RNA is filed under the name uncultured marine archaeon. Its description in RNAcentral is "SSU rRNA". It matches the Rfam family "Archaeal small subunit ribosomal RNA", at positions 456 to 1354 of the family's 1478-position model. The record is from RNAcentral.